AGGGCAAGUCUGGUGCCAGCAGCCGCGGUAAUUCUAGCUCUCAAAAUGCAUAGAAUUAUUGCUGCGGUUAAAAAGCUCGUAGUUGGAUCUGUGCUAGUCGUCCGGUGCACACUUUGUGUGUUACUGGUUCGGUUGGCUUUUCUGCUGGUCUCUCCCCGGCGUUGGCCUUCACCGGUCGGCGUCGGUGGGCUAGCGAGUUUACUUUGAACAAAUCAGAGUGCUUCAAACAGGCGUUUCGCUUGAAUGUUCGUGCAUGGAAUAAUAGAAGAGGAUUUCGGUCCGAUUUUAUUGGUUUUGCUGACCGAGAUAAUGGUUAACAGAGACAAACGGGGCCAUUCGUAUUGCUACGUGAGAGGUGAAAUUCUUGGACCGUAGCAAGACGGACUACAGCGAAAGCAUUUGGCAAGAAUGUCUUCAUUAAUCAAGAACGAAAGUCAGAGGUUCGAAGGCGAUCAGAUACCGUCCUAGUUCUGACCGUAAACGAUGCCAACUAGCGAUCCGCCGGCGGAUUCAUUCGCCCUGGUGGGGAGCUUCCCGGAAACGAAAGUCUUCCGGUUCCGGGGGAAGUAUGGUUGCAAAGCUGAAA
RNAcentral lists this ribosomal RNA (586 nucleotides) under Heterodera koreana. RNAcentral describes it as "SSU rRNA". It matches the Rfam family "Eukaryotic small subunit ribosomal RNA", at positions 552 to 1142 of the family's 1831-position model. Lineage: Eukaryota; Metazoa; Nematoda; Chromadorea; Rhabditida; Heteroderidae. The record is from RNAcentral.